RNAcentral lists this ribosomal RNA (2787 nucleotides) under Escherichia coli. RNAcentral's name for it is "bacterial LSU rRNA". It matches the Rfam family "Bacterial large subunit ribosomal RNA". Lineage: Bacteria; Pseudomonadati; Pseudomonadota; Gammaproteobacteria; Enterobacterales; Enterobacteriaceae. The record is from RNAcentral.
AGCGUACACGGUGGAUGCCCUGGCAGUCAGAGGCGAUGAAGGACGUGCUAAUCUGCGAUAAGCGUCGGUAAGGUGAUAUGAACCGUUAUAACCGGCGAUUUCCGAAUGGGGAAACCCAGUGUGUUUCGACACACUAUCAUUAACUGAAUCCAUAGGUUAAUGAGGCGAACCGGGGGAACUGAAACAUCUAAGUACCCCGAGGAAAAGAAAUCAACCGAGAUUCCCCCAGUAGCGGCGAGCGAACGGGGAGCAGCCCAGAGCCUGAAUCAGUGUGUGUGUUAGUGGAAGCGUCUGGAAAGGCGCGCGAUACAGGGUGACAGCCCCGUACACAAAAAUGCACAUGCUGUGAGCUCGAUGAGUAGGGCGGGACACGUGGUAUCCUGUCUGAAUAUGGGGGGACCAUCCUCCAAGGCUAAAUACUCCUGACUGACCGAUAGUGAACCAGUACCGUGAGGGAAAGGCGAAAAGAACCCCGGCGAGGGGAGUGAAAAAGAACCUGAAACCGUGUACGUACAAGCAGUGGGAGCACGCUUAGGCGUGUGACUGCGUACCUUUUGUAUAAUGGGUCAGCGACUUAUAUUCUGUAGCAAGGUUAACCGAAUAGGGGAGCCGAAGGGAAACCGAGUCUUAACUGGGCGUUAAGUUGCAGGGUAUAGACCCGAAACCCGGUGAUCUAGCCAUGGGCAGGUUGAAGGUUGGGUAACACUAACUGGAGGACCGAACCGACUAAUGUUGAAAAAUUAGCGGAUGACUUGUGGCUGGGGGUGAAAGGCCAAUCAAACCGGGAGAUAGCUGGUUCUCCCCGAAAGCUAUUUAGGUAGCGCCUCGUGAAUUCAUCUCCGGGGGUAGAGCACUGUUUCGGCAAGGGGGUCAUCCCGACUUACCAACCCGAUGCAAACUGCGAAUACCGGAGAAUGUUAUCACGGGAGACACACGGCGGGUGCUAACGUCCGUCGUGAAGAGGGAAACAACCCAGACCGCCAGCUAAGGUCCCAAAGUCAUGGUUAAGUGGGAAACGAUGUGGGAAGGCCCAGACAGCCAGGAUGUUGGCUUAGAAGCAGCCAUCAUUUAAAGAAAGCGUAAUAGCUCACUGGUCGAGUCGGCCUGCGCGGAAGAUGUAACGGGGCUAAACCAUGCACCGAAGCUGCGGCAGCGACGCUUAUGCGUUGUUGGGUAGGGGAGCGUUCUGUAAGCCUGUGAAGGUGUGCUGUGAGGCAUGCUGGAGGUAUCAGAAGUGCGAAUGCUGACAUAAGUAACGAUAAAGCGGGUGAAAAGCCCGCUCGCCGGAAGACCAAGGGUUCCUGUCCAACGUUAAUCGGGGCAGGGUGAGUCGACCCCUAAGGCGAGGCCGAAAGGCGUAGUCGAUGGGAAACAGGUUAAUAUUCCUGUACUUGGUGUUACUGCGAAGGGGGGACGGAGAAGGCUAUGUUGGCCGGGCGACGGUUGUCCCGGUUUAAGCGUGUAGGCUGGUUUUCCAGGCAAAUCCGGAAAAUCAAGGCUGAGGCGUGAUGACGAGGCACUACGGUGCUGAAGCAACAAAUGCCCUGCUUCCAGGAAAAGCCUCUAAGCAUCAGGUAACAUCAAAUCGUACCCCAAACCGACACAGGUGGUCAGGUAGAGAAUACCAAGGCGCUUGAGAGAACUCGGGUGAAGGAACUAGGCAAAAUGGUGCCGUAACUUCGGGAGAAGGCACGCUGAUAUGUAGGUGAAGCGACUUGCUCGUGGAGCUGAAAUCAGUCGAAGAUACCAGCUGGCUGCAACUGUUUAUUAAAAACACAGCACUGUGCAAACACGAAAGUGGACGUAUACGGUGUGACGCCUGCCCGGUGCCGGAAGGUUAAUUGAUGGGGUCAGCGCAAGCGAAGCUCUUGAUCGAAGCCCCGGUAAACGGCGGCCGUAACUAUAACGGUCCUAAGGUAGCGAAAUUCCUUGUCGGGUAAGUUCCGACCUGCACGAAUGGCGUAAUGAUGGCCAGGCUGUCUCCACCCGAGACUCAGUGAAAUUGAACUCGCUGUGAAGAUGCAGUGUACCCGCGGCAAGACGGAAAGACCCCGUGAACCUUUACUAUAGCUUGACACUGAACAUUGAGCCUUGAUGUGUAGGAUAGGUGGGAGGCUUUGAAGUGUGGACGCCAGUCUGCAUGGAGCCGACCUUGAAAUACCACCCUUUAAUGUUUGAUGUUCUAACGUGGACCCGUAAUCCGGGUUGCGGACAGUGUCUGGUGGGUAGUUUGACUGGGGCGGUCUCCUCCUAAAGAGUAACGGAGGAGCACGAAGGUUGGCUAAUCCUGGUCGGACAUCAGGAGGUUAGUGCAAUGGCAUAAGCCAGCUUGACUGCGAGCGUGACGGCGCGAGCAGGUGCGAAAGCAGGUCAUAGUGAUCCGGUGGUUCUGAAUGGAAGGGCCAUCGCUCAACGGAUAAAAGGUACUCCGGGGAUAACAGGCUGAUACCGCCCAAGAGUUCAUAUCGACGGCGGUGUUUGGCACCUCGAUGUCGGCUCAUCACAUCCUGGGGCUGAAGUAGGUCCCAAGGGUAUGGCUGUUCGCCAUUUAAAGUGGUACGCGAGCUGGGUUUAGAACGUCGUGAGACAGUUCGGUCCCUAUCUGCCGUGGGCGCUGGAGAACUGAGGGGGGCUGCUCCUAGUACGAGAGGACCGGAGUGGACGCAUCACUGGUGUUCGGGUUGUCAUGCCAAUGGCACUGCCCGGUAGCUAAAUGCGGAAGAGAUAAGUGCUGAAAGCAUCUAAGCACGAAACUUGCCCCGAGAUGAGUUCUCCCUGACUCCUUGA